RNAcentral lists this ribosomal RNA (697 nucleotides) under Deontolaimus tardus. RNAcentral's name for it is "SSU rRNA". It matches the Rfam family "Eukaryotic small subunit ribosomal RNA", at positions 136 to 924 of the family's 1831-position model. The record is from RNAcentral. Lineage: Eukaryota; Metazoa; Nematoda; Chromadorea; Plectida; Leptolaimidae.
UACUUGGAUAACUGUGGUAAUUCUAGAGCUAAUACAUGCAUGACGAGCGCAAUUAUUAGACAAAACCAAUUUUGGUGGAUCUGAAUAACUCACAGUCUUCGCACUGGCGACGAAUCUUUCAAGUGUCUGCCUUAUCAGCUGUCGAUGGUAGUCUAUGAGUCUACCAUGGCUGUAACGGGUAACGGAGAAUAAGGGUUCGACUCCGGAGAGGGAGCCUGAGAAACGGCUACCACAUCCAAGGAAGGCAGCAGGCGCGCAAAUUACCCACUCUCGGCGAGGAGGUAGUGACGAAAAAUAACGAGGUGGUUCUCUAACUAUCGGAAUGGGUACAAUUUAAACCCUUUAACGAGGACCUAUGAGAGGGCAAGUCUGGUGCCAGCAGCCGCGGUAAUUCCAGCUCUCAAGGUGUAUAUCGCCAUUGCUGCGGUUAAAAAGCUCGUAGUUGGAUCUACUUCGGAGCCGGUCCACCCAAGUGGUGCGUCGCUGGUCAUCCUUGAUGCUCUUAACCGGGUGUCCUGGGUGGCUAGUGAGUUUACUUUGAAAAAAUUAGAGUGCUCAAGACAGGCUUUAGGCCUGAAUAGUGGUGCAUGGAAUAAUAGAAUAGGAGGUCCAUUUUAUUGGUUUUGGUCCCGAGAUAAUGGUUAAGAGGGACAGACGGGGGCAUUCGUAUCGCUGCGUGAGAGGUGAAAUUCUUGGA